RNAcentral lists this ribosomal RNA (384 nucleotides) under uncultured bacterium. RNAcentral's name for it is "bacterial SSU rRNA". It matches the Rfam family "Bacterial small subunit ribosomal RNA", at positions 30 to 416 of the family's 1533-position model. The record is from RNAcentral.
AUUGAACGCUGGCGGCAUGCCUUACACAUGCAAGUCGAACGGUAACGGGCCUUCGGGUGCCGACGAGUGGCGAACGGGUGAGUAAUGCAUCGGAACGUACCUUUCAGUGGGGGAUAACGUAGCGAAAGUUACGCUAAUACCGCAUAUUCUGUGAGCAGGAAAGCAGGGGAUCGCAAGACCUUGCGCUGAUUGAGCGGCCGAUGUCAGAUUAGCUAGUUGGUGAGGUAAAGGCUCACCAAGGCGACGAUCUGUAGCGGGUCUGAGAGGAUGAUCCGCCACACUGGAACUGAGACACGGUCCAGACUCCUACGGGAGGCAGCAGUGGGGAAUUUUGGGCAAUGGGGGCAACCCUGAUCCAGCCAUGCCGCGUGAGUGAAGAAGGCC